ACAAUGGAGAGUUUGAUCCUGGCUCAGGAUUAACGCUAGCGGCAGGCCUAAUACAUGCAAGUCGUACGGUAACAGGGUAGCAAUACCGCUGACGAGUGGCGCACGGGUGCGUAACACGUAUGCAACCUACCUAUAACUGGGGAAUAGCCUCCCGAAAGGGAGAUUAACACCGCAUAACAUUAUGAAGUGGCAUCACUUUAUAAUUAAAUCUACGGAGGUUAUAGAUGGGCAUGCGUCCGAUUAGCUAGUUGGUGAGGUAAUGG
Molecule: ribosomal RNA, 263 nt
Filed under: Bacteroidia bacterium
Lineage: Bacteria; Pseudomonadati; Bacteroidota; Bacteroidia
Description: partial 16S ribosomal RNA
Rfam family: Bacterial small subunit ribosomal RNA
Source: RNAcentral